RNAcentral lists this ribosomal RNA (274 nucleotides) under uncultured eukaryote. RNAcentral's name for it is "partial large subunit ribosomal RNA". It matches the Rfam family "Bacterial large subunit ribosomal RNA", at positions 2213 to 2486 of the family's 2925-position model. The record is from RNAcentral.
GCUAGGAUUCUAACCCUAUACCGUUAUCCGGUUAGGGGACAGUUUCAGGUGGUCAGUUUGACUGGGGCGGUCGCCUCCCAAAAGGUAACGGAGGCGUGCAAAGGUUUCCUCAGGCUGGUCGGAAAUCAGUCGUAGAGUGUAAAGGCAUAAGGAAGCUUGAUUGUGAGACCUACAAGUCGAACAAAGACGAAAGUCGGCCUUAGUGAUCCGACGGUUCCGAGUGGAAGGGCCGUCGCUCAACGGAUAAAAGUUACUCUAGGGAUAACAGGCUGAA